GUAUGCGACCAAAAAACGUUGAAGUACCACCUCUCGCCAGAUCCUUGAAGUCAAGCAACGUUGUACCGAGUUGUACAUGGGCAGCCAUUUGAGAACACUCGGUGUCAUAUUCA
This 113-nucleotide ribosomal RNA is filed under the name Leptotrombidium deliense. Lineage: Eukaryota; Metazoa; Arthropoda; Arachnida; Trombidiformes; Trombiculidae. The record is from RNAcentral.